UAGAUUGAAGCCAGUUGUGUAGGGUUUUUAGCUGUUAACUAAAGUUUCGUGGGAUAAAUACCCGCCAAUCUAG
This 73-nucleotide transfer RNA is filed under the name Scotonycteris bergmansi (Bergmans's fruit bat). RNAcentral describes it as "tRNA-Asn". Lineage: Eukaryota; Metazoa; Chordata; Mammalia; Chiroptera; Pteropodidae. The record is from RNAcentral.